Molecule: ribosomal RNA, 503 nt
Filed under: uncultured bacterium
Lineage: Bacteria
Description: bacterial SSU rRNA
Rfam family: Bacterial small subunit ribosomal RNA
Source: RNAcentral
GAUGAACGCUAGCGGCAGGCCUAACACAUGCAAGUCGAACGGUAACAUGAGAGCUUGCUCUUGAUGACGAGUGGCGCACGGGUGCGUAACGCGUAUGCAACCUACCCUAUACAGGGGGAUAGCCCGGAGAAAUUCGGAUUAAUACCCCAUAAUAUUUUCGAUUCACCUGGAUUGAUUAUUAAAGCUUCGGCGGUAUAGGAUGGGCAUGCGUCCCAUUAGCUAGUUGGUGAGGUAAUGGCUCACCAAGGCUACGAUGGGUAGGGGUUCUGAGAGGAUUAUCCCCCACACUGGUACUGAGACACGGACCAGACUCCUACGGGAGGCAGCAGUGAGGAAUAUUGGGCAAUGGACGAGAGUCUGACCCAGCCAUGCCGCGUGCAGGAUGACGGCCCUAUGGGUUGUAAACUGCUUUUAUACAGGAAUAAACCUAUCUACGUGUAGAUAGCUGAAUGUACUGUACGAAUAAGGAUCGGCUAACUCCGUGCCAGCCGCCGCCGUAACAC